Long non-coding RNA from Esox lucius (northern pike), 388 nucleotides. The record is from Ensembl. Lineage: Eukaryota; Metazoa; Chordata; Actinopteri; Esociformes; Esocidae.
GUGAUGAGGAACAGGUGUGUGUAAUGAUAGGAAGUAUGGGGUGAUGUGAUGAGGAACAGGUGUGUGUAAUGAUAUGAAGUAUGGGGUGAUGUGAUGAGGAACAGGUGUGUUUAAUGAUGGGAAGUAUGGGGUGAUGUGAUGAGGAACAGGUGUGUUUAAUGAUGGGAAGUAUGGGGUGAUGUGAUGAGGAACAGGUGUGUGUAAUGAUGGGAAGUAUGGGGUGAUGUGAUGAGGAACUGGUGUGUUUAAUGAUGGGAAGUAUGGGGUGAUGUGAUGAGGAACUGGUGUGUGUAAUGAUGGGAAGUAUGGGGUGAUGUGAUGAGGAACAGGUGUGUUUAAUGAUGGGAAGUAUGGGGUGAUGUGAUGAGGAACAGGUGUGUGUAAUGAU